UGACAACAGAGUCACAGAAUACAUCUACCAUCUUAAUGUCCAAAGUCCAAGUGGUGAAACAGCCUUUAAAAACAUGACCAUUCCAUAUGGCUGGGCAAAGAGGCCCAUGCUGCAGAGAAUUGGCCUGAUUCACGACGACAUCCCCAUUACCGUGAUCUAUGGCUCACGCUCCAGCAUAGAUGGCCACUCCGGCAAUUCAAUCAAAGAAAUGAGGCCAAACUCCCAUGUCGAGAUCAUUGUCAUACGAGGUGCCGGACACUAUGUUUAUGCUGACCAGCCUGAGGAUUUCAACCAGAAGAUACUUCAUGUCUGUGAUACAAUAAGCUGAAUAGGGAUGAAGGUAUAUUUUUCUUCUGGAACUAUCCAAACAGAGCUUAUGGUGUCUCCACAUUGGCUCAUGCAUGUCAACACAUGAUCUUCGUUGCAUAUGAAAUUUGGACUGGAGAUUUGGGAAGCCACUGGGUUUGAAAACCACAUGUUUUGCACCACUACUGGACUUUUUUGAAGCAUUUGUGUUUGUGUGUGUGUG
RNAcentral lists this long non-coding RNA (529 nucleotides) under Danio rerio (zebrafish). RNAcentral describes it as "abhydrolase domain containing 5, lysophosphatidic acid acyltransferase a (ENSDARG00000099189.2)". Lineage: Eukaryota; Metazoa; Chordata; Actinopteri; Cypriniformes; Danionidae. The record is from RNAcentral.